This is a non-coding RNA of Benincasa hispida (wax gourd), 2477 nucleotides long. Lineage: Eukaryota; Viridiplantae; Streptophyta; Magnoliopsida; Cucurbitales; Cucurbitaceae. The record is from RefSeq and is a predicted model, not a curated record.
UCUUUCUUCUUUUUAUUUCCCUCUCCCUCUCUUGGUUCACCUCACGCCGUCGAGACCUCCCCCCAAAUCUUCAUCUUCUUUGUCUGCCGCCCAACCCCUUCACGCUGCUUGCUGCCCUUCGCUGCUGUCGCCAAUCGUCAAACCCAUGCCGUCAGUUUCGUCAACGACAUCUUCCAUCACAUAAAGGGACGCCCUCAGUUCCAUCGUCGUCAGUUUCUUCGUCGCGUCCCUCCAACAUUUGCACCCGACGGUCGUCCGAUGCCUUCUUCACUGGUUAAAUCAGCGCCACAUGUAAGUCUGUCGAGCUGCCUUCAGUCAGUUCCACCACCAAGUUUGUUCACGUCAGUCGUCGUUAUUCGUCUCAGACUCGCCAGAUUCGACAUCCAGCCAUCGUUCUGCUUGGUUUCACCAGUUGCCGCCGUCGAGAACUCCACGACCGUGUCCUUUACAAGUGGGAACGGUUGAAUGUGGGUAUUACGUUAUGAGAUAUAUGCGAGAAAUCGUGACUAAAGAGAAGAAUAUUAUAACAUAUGUGGUAUGUCUUUAAACUACUCAUAUAUAUUGUAACAUUAUAGAUAGUGUAAAUAGUAAAUAAAUAUGUAUAUCUCACUUUCUAUGUUUUAUAGAUUGAUACGAGAAACUCGUACUCGCAAUUUGAAUUCGAUGAAGUACAUGCAGAAUGGUCUGAAUAUUUAGGUCACUAUAUCUAAUGGACUUCCUAUAAAUUGUGUAUGUGACUGAUAACUAUAUUUAGGUCACUUUCUAUGUUUUAUAGAUUGAUACGAGAAGCUCUUACUCGCAACUUUUUUUGUGUAAAUGUUUUGUUCAACCAUUAUAGGUUAUAUACUUCAAAGAAAUGUGUAGUGGAGGAUAGAAUUUUAGUCUUGUGAUUUUUGGAAUACAUAGCACAUAUAGAUUGGUCUUACAAUUUUGGAAUUAUCAUAUAUUGGGGUGGGUUGAUAGAGUAUAUACUGUUGUAUGAUUCAUCUUGUAAAUUUUGGAAUCGUUCAUAUAAACAUGAGUAAUAGAAUGAAAUUGUUUAUUUUAGUAUUCUCAAUUGUUACGUUGGAUAUAUUGGGCUGAUAUGUAGACCUGAAAUAUAUGUGCAACUGUUUAGUUGAUGAAAUUGUCUUAUUUGAACAAAUGUAAUGCAGGAAAUGAGAAAUGGAAAUUAAAUUUGAAUGUUUAAUUUGGAAAAAAAAAGCAUAGAUGACAUUGGAAAUGUGUCAAGAAUUAGAUUACUUAACCAUUAUUCCAUGUCAAGAUAAAAAUAUAUUUGACAAAUAAAAAAAUGUCAAGAGUAAUCACAAUAAUAAGUGUCAAGAAUUAAUACACUUGACAUGUCAUUAGUGUCAAGUGUAUUAUAUUUCUUAACACGGAAAUUGUGUCAAGAAUUAUUUCUCUUGAUGUUUUUACAAUAUCAAGUUAUGACAUUAUACUUGGCAAUUGAAUAGACGACGCUUUUAUUAGCGUCAAGUAUACCCUCUACUUGACAUUGGAAAAACGUCAAAUAAUCCAAUUUCUAUAAUAGUGGGUGUAUAUUAUUGAUGUUACGAUGUUAGUUGGUUGAUAAUAUUUUCUUUUAUUAUGAUGGAUAUUUUGUCUUUGACUUGGCGUUGAUAUUCUUUCUUUAUUGGUGGCAAAUUUUUUUGACUGAUCUUUUCCUUUUUUGUGCUGUUGUUGACGAUAUUUUUCUUGCCUCAGGAGGAUUGUAUUUAAUUUGUCUCAUAUGUGGUUUUAGGGCAAGUUGUAUUUUUUGUCUAAAGGGUCGAUCGAUUGAAAGACAGAGAAUCUCUUGUGUUCUAUGUGGCUACUUAUUCAUUGUGAUAUUCAAAAGUCGUGCGGUAAUUUUGAAGCUUGGUCUAUCCAAAUAGAUUCUUCAUAGUGUUGUGGUAAGGUGCUGGUUGAGUGUUCUUUCAACUAGCAAGUGAAAAGGGGAUGAAGUCAUUGUUGCGGCAUCAAAAUCAGGGGAGCCUAAAUUUGCAGACUCAUUAGAAGCAGUAUAAGUGUAAGAAGGAGCCUAACUUAGGUGGUAAACGAUAUACUUAUGUCUAUGUUGAUGAUUUCUUCCAGUACACGUGGGUACGUUUUAUCAUAGAAAAGUCAGCUACUUUUCAAGUUUGUUAAACUUUAUGUAUUCAGCUUUAGAGAGAACAAGAGGUACAAAUUGUGAGGAUUAGGAUUGAUCAUGGUAAAGAGUUUGAAAACUCUCAAUUUGAACCCUUUUGUAAUUCAAAGGGUAUUCAACAUGAGUUUUCCUCUCCUAUAACUCCUAAACCGAAUGGUGUGGUUGAAAGGAAGAAUUACACUCUUUAGGAAAUAGCAAGGACAAUGUUGCAUGCAAAACGUGUGCCUUUGCACUUUUGGGCAAAAGCCCUCAAUACAGCUUGUCACAUCCACAACUGAAUUUCUAUUUGAAAUUGCUCUCUGAGCACAAACUAUGAAAUCUGGAAAGACCAUAAGCCAAAUAUUAAGUA